GAUUCCAGCUGCCGAGAAAAGCCGCUAUUGUGUACCAUGUGCCCGUACCGUAAACCGACACAGGUGGAUGAGGAGAGAAUCCUAAGGCCGGCGGGAGAAGCAUUGUUAAGGAACUCGGCAAAAUGACCCCGUAACUUCGGGAUAAGGGGUGCCAGAGAGAUCUGGCCGCAGAGAAUAGGCUCAAGCAACUGUUUAGCAAAAACACAGGUCUAUGCGAAACCGUAAGGUGAUGUAUAUGGGCUGACGCCUGCCCGGUGCUGGAAGGUUAAGAGGAGAGGUUAGAGCAAUCGAAGCUUUGAAUUGAAGCCCCAGUAAACGGCGGCCGUAACUAUAACGGUCCUAAGGUAGCGAAAUUCCUUGUCGGGUAAGUUCCGACCCGCACGAAAGGCGUAAUGAUUUGAGCGCUGUCUCGACAAUGCACCCGGUGAAAUUGAAAUACCAGUGAAGAUGCUGGUUACCUGCGCCAGGACGGAAAGACCCCAUGGAGCUUUACUCCAGCUUGAUACUGGGAUUCGGUAAUGCAUGCACAGGAUAGGUGGGAGGCUA
RNAcentral lists this ribosomal RNA (546 nucleotides) under Clostridium sp. MCC328. Its description in RNAcentral is "partial 23S ribosomal RNA". It matches the Rfam family "Bacterial large subunit ribosomal RNA", at positions 1597 to 2157 of the family's 2925-position model. Lineage: Bacteria; Bacillati; Bacillota; Clostridia; Eubacteriales; Clostridiaceae. The record is from RNAcentral.